AACGCAUAUUGCGCUCGAGGCUUCGGCCAAGAGCAUGUCUGCCUCAGCGUCGGUUUACCCUCAUUGCCCAACACCAUGGUGUGGUGUGCAAUGGAUCUGGCCGUUCCAGUGAAGCGGCGAGCAUGGCCACAUGUGUUUCUGACAUAUGCGGUCAUGUGCGCGUAUAAGCUCUGGAUUGGCUGAAGCGCAGAGGCUAACCAUGGACCCACUAUGGGCCGCAACUGGGUAGGCUGAUACUCAGCAAACGCUUAGUUGUUGGCUUGGGACUCUGGUUCAGCCCCAAACCAGGAAACAACAAUAAACCAUUCGACCUGAGAUCAGGCAAGAACACCCGCUGAACUUAA
RNAcentral lists this unclassified non-coding RNA (344 nucleotides) under uncultured fungus. RNAcentral's name for it is "partial contains 5.8S ribosomal RNA, internal transcribed spacer 2, and large subunit ribosomal RNA". The record is from RNAcentral. Lineage: Eukaryota; Fungi.